UCCUGAAUUUAGGCGCAGUAACCAUUAAGUUGCGGGGAGUACGCCAAGGUUAAUCAAAAUUGGGGGCCGCCAAGCGGUGGAGCAUGUGGUUUAAUUGAAGCAACGCGAAGAACCUUACUGCCUUGACAUGCUGAGAACUUUCCAGAGAUGGAUUGGUGCCUUCGGGAAUCAGACACAGGUGUGCAUGGGUGUCAGCUCGGUCUGAGAUGUUGGGUUAAGUCCCGUAACGAGCGCAACCCUUGUCUUAGUUACCAGCACCUCGGGUGGGCACUCUAAGGAGACUGCCGGUGACAAACCGGAGGAAGGUGGGGAUGACGUCAAGUCAUCAUGGCCCUUACGGCCAGGGCUACACACGUGCUACAAUGGUCGGUAMAAARGGUUGCCMAGCCGCGAGGUGGAGCUAAUCCCAUAAAACCGAUCGUAGUCCGGAUCGCAGUCUGCAACUCGACUGCGUGAAGUCGGAAUCGCUAGUAAUCGUGAAUCAGAAUGUCACGGUGARUACGUUCCCGGGCCUUGUACACACCGCCCGUCACACCAUGGGAGUGGGUUGCUCCARRWSUAKCUAGUCUAACCUUCGGGGGGACGGUUACCACGGAGUGAUUCAUGACUGGGGUGAAGUCGUAACAAGGUAGCCGUAGGGGAACCUGC
Molecule: ribosomal RNA, 648 nt
Filed under: Ectopseudomonas mendocina
Lineage: Bacteria; Pseudomonadati; Pseudomonadota; Gammaproteobacteria; Pseudomonadales; Pseudomonadaceae
Description: bacterial SSU rRNA
Rfam family: Bacterial small subunit ribosomal RNA
Source: RNAcentral